Molecule: microRNA precursor, 52 nt
Filed under: Marmota monax (woodchuck)
Lineage: Eukaryota; Metazoa; Chordata; Mammalia; Rodentia; Sciuridae
Description: mir-1302 microRNA precursor family
Rfam family: mir-1302 microRNA precursor family
Source: Rfam by way of RNAcentral
UUGUUAGCAUAAGUAUAUCCCAUGAAAUAUCUGGGACAUACUUAUACUAAAG